UUAUUGGAGAGUUUGAUCCUGGCUCAGGACGAACGCUGGCGGCGUGCCUAACACAUGCAAGUCGAACGGAGUGUUUAUUUAUAAACACUUA
This 91-nucleotide ribosomal RNA is filed under the name Negativicutes bacterium. RNAcentral describes it as "partial 16S ribosomal RNA". It matches the Rfam family "Bacterial small subunit ribosomal RNA", at positions 1 to 93 of the family's 1533-position model. The record is from RNAcentral. Lineage: Bacteria; Bacillati; Bacillota; Negativicutes.